RNAcentral lists this ribosomal RNA (483 nucleotides) under uncultured bacterium. RNAcentral describes it as "bacterial SSU rRNA". It matches the Rfam family "Bacterial small subunit ribosomal RNA", at positions 28 to 494 of the family's 1533-position model. The record is from RNAcentral.
GAUGAACGCUAGCUACAGGCUUAACACAUGCAAGUCGAGGGGCAGCAUGAACUUAGCUUGCUAAGUUUGAUGGCGACCGGCGCACGGGUGAGUAAACACGUAUCCAACCUGCCGAUGACUCGGGGAUAGCCUUUCGAAAGAAAGAUUAAUACCCGAUGGCAUAGUUCUUCCGCAUGGUAGAACUAUUAAAGAAUUUCGGUCAUCGAUGGGGAUGCGUUCCAUUAGGUUGUUGGCGGGGUAACGGCCCACCAAGCCUUCGAUGGAUAGGGGUUCUGAGAGGAAGGUCCCCCACAUUGGAACUGAGACACGGGUCCAAACUCCUACGGGAGCAGCAGGUGAGGAAUAUUGGGUCAAUGGACGAGAGUCUGAACCAGCCAAAGUAGCGCGAAGGAUGACUGCCCCUAAUGGGUUGUAAACUUCUUUUAAUACGGGAAUAAAGUGAGGCACGUGUGCCUUUUUGUAUGUACCGUAUGAAUAAGGAUC